CGAAGAUGGCCUCGAACACGUAGCUGCUCGUCGCGUCCGGGUAGACGGUCGUCCAGUAGUUGGCCCCCAGGUGCAGGUCGAACUCCAGCGACGAGCUGUUCUUGCCGUCGUAGUUGCCGUACGCCAAGAUGGCCCGCACCAGGUACUUCGUCCCGGCCACGGUGGGCAGCGCGUAGCAGUUCCGCUCGCCGGACGGGAAGCUCCUCAGCGUUUGAUGGCGGGCGAAAUACCACUCGUAUUCCGCCGCUACCCUGUGGUUCUCGCCGGCGUCCACGUAGGAGCCGUCGGGGACGUAGUCGAUGCCGGUGAUCGUGUCCGUGUAGCUGUAGUUGGUGUCCAGGCCGCAGUCGAUGCUCAAGAAAUCUGCAUCCACGACUCAUCAGUUGUUGGUUCAUUCUGAGGUCAUGCAUAUGAGAUCGACGGAUCGACGAAAUGAAGGUUGAAGCCAGAGAUCGAUCGGUAUACCUUGCUGACUGACGGCGACAGGGGCAAAUAGCAGCAGUAAAACCAAGAACGCAGGCGCCAUAUAUAUAUAUUAAUGGUCUGAGCUAGGAACGACGAUCGAUCAUCGUAGCACUAAGAGUAUAAGACGAACCCUACUGUCUUCAUAGUAUUUAUAGAGUUAUUGUUGACGUACGUCUAGUCACACACACCAACGAUGUCUAACACUUCCGAGGCCGCAUCUGACCUUAAUUUGUACACAGCGAGAACGCCCUAAUACUAGUGAGGCCGCCCUAUAAUAUUAGUGAGGCCGGCCAACAAGUCAGUCUGGCCCGAUCUGUUGCCCAUUCUUCACCCGUUAAUAAAGAUCCAUCGGGAAAGGGCAUAACGAGGUUGCUUUAGGACCAGUAACGUCGUGUAUCGAUACCAACCAAAGAUACCCAAUCAAACAACAUUAACAACAUGACCGGACUGAAUUCCUCAGGCAAGGAAAGGUUUCCGCCUCGCGCGACCGCCGUCUUGGGAACAUGCUGCCCGACGGUAGCACUCUUCGCCUCGCCCGACCCCCUUGACGUCAGCAUGUUCGAGACCUCGGAGUGGAUCGCGCCAUCUCAAGGACGCCCGACCCCCUCUAAGCGACUCUGUCUCCAUCUCACCCGAAGGGCACGCCUUGGCCUCAGGCGCAACCAGGAUAACACAUGAACCCCCGCCACAUUGCCUACCACUCGGAUGGGAUAAGCACAACACUAUCCCACGUACGGGGACGUGGGAAAUACCGUUACCUGACACGACGACCAUCAUUCCGCUGUGAUCAGACAACAAUGACAACGAUCACUAUGCCACCUACUCCCCUCUCCACACAUAUCCAGGGUCAUGCACCUCUCGUCUCUCAACAGUAAAGGACCACAGAAGUAGGGAUGGCCGCGACGCAUGACACUAGUGCCCAGAGAGACCAAAACUACUAGAUGGUCAUGACAGUGGCGGAGCGUGGAGAUAAAACAAGCAGAGGCUAUUUCUUGUUUCAAUAACAAUCAUAACGGGUAGCGCUGAUCUGAUGGAGUACAACUAGACUCUUCUAUCAUUUUGUGUUUGUUCUUUGUACGCUGCGGCCAAUGCUUUCUAGUUUCUAUAUGCUUCAUAGCUUCAUAGAACAACUUUUCACAUAACAAUAUAAAGGAAAUAGUAGUAUAUGCAGUAAUAAAACAUGCAAGCAAGGGGGGCAGGAGCCUAGGUUUGCCUCUACAAGGCUCCGCCUAUGGUCACGACGUCCUUGCACACCAGGGUUGGCUGUGCACUUCGGACCCAUAUCAUCCCUUGACAUAUAAAAGGGAAUGGAGGACCCCUUACACAGGGGACGCAACAACACGAAAAACCACUGAACCCUCACUACGCCACACACCAGAGACUUGGGAGCCUCUCUCUCUCUCACUCACUAUUUUUGUAACCCUUAUUGCAAACCACCAUGCAAAGAGCAAUACGAACAACGCCGCACCCGGACAUAGAGACCUUCUUGCCCGAACCAGUAUACAUCCUUGUGUCAUCUUUGCACACCAUCCGGGCCUGAACGCGCAUGCAGAAGCAAGUUCACUUGUUGGUCUGUCUAUGACGCCACUUUAUACAUCAACAGGUAAGGCCACCUAGAACACCACCAAUUCUUGUUGAGAGACAUAACAAACAGUCGGGGUUGGAAAAGCUAGGGUAAACCCUAAACCAAAAGGGUGUAGUAGAUUGAUUUUUUUAAAGUUGAAUUCUUUAAUCGAGUGCAAUCCUCUAAUAUAUAUAGAUGAGAAUGAUCUUAUAUCAAUAAAAAUAUUUCAAAGGUGCAACCCACAAGUUUCUCAUGACCAAAGUUAGGUUUACCAACCCUUGGAACAGGGAAACCAGCCUUGCCGGUUUUAACGGUGCUAGUUCGGCUUGCUGGAUGACGCACAGAGAAAUUGGCCAGACUAGUUUAGACGGAGUCUUGAUGUUCCAAAUAUAUUUCUUGAUCGUCUUGACGCUAGGAAUUUGUUGGUGGAGUCCAUCUAUAUACUCGUCGGCACAUUUCUGCUUUCAACAGAGUUAUUAUAUAUUAUAUAUUUAUAUUACUAUAUCUCAACAUUCCGUAGAGGAAACAAAUCUCCUUUGCCCUUGAGAAAUACCCCGGUGGCCCCUUGUUAAUUGAAAACUACACGAAUGCAAGGCCUCUAUACUAGAUCAAGUCAAAAAUCAUCAUAGUAUAAUUUACAAUUUUGAUAAUUUGUAAGUGAACGGUAUUCAAAUUUGGUAAUUUGUAAGCAUUUGAAUUUUUUUGUUUGUUUGGUGGGAGUGGAGUUUUGGUGGGACGAGGAAAAUAAGAGGUGGUAGUCAAGUGGAGAUUUCGUUUUUAAUAUAAGUCUAUCAAACUAGUAGGACAUACAUUUUGUUGCCCAAUGUUUGUGCCAAAUGAUAAUGAAUUAUUUAUUGAAUUUAAUUAGGAUUUGUCCAAACUUAAAUUAAACAAAUUUCAGGACCUAUAAAAAUGAUAGUUCAAUAAAAGAUUGAUCUCGUAUGAGAAUUUGAGAGGAGGUUGACUCAAGUUAAUUAAAUAGAUGGCUAUCGUGUGUACUUGUGAGUUAAAGAAAGAUGGAAGACGAGCCACAUGUUAGUACAUGUGCCAUGACAUGAACGAAGAUCGAGCCUUGAUGUGAGUGGUGCGGCUCUAACAAAAGUUUUGUAGCUCCAAACACAAAACAUGUGAAGAGUGAGAGUUAGGAACAAUGGAUCGAUGGAUGAAAGAGGAGGGAGGAAUGAUGAAUGAAUGGGGGAGAGACCAAGGACCGAUGGACCAAGGGACGAAAGAGGAGUGAGGGAUGGAGGGACAAAGAGUAAGAGAUACGGAAGAAAUAAAUUUUCUCUUUACUAUUAAUUAGUAUCACCAUCCAUCAUGGCUUGUGAUAUAAUUUCGUACUCAAAACCAAACAGAGGAUAUGAAUCCCUUCUUAAAUUCUCAUUCUUAUCACUACUACAGAACACACAAUCCCUCUCGAACCAUCAAUGUCGGGUGUGUUGGAGUUAGUAGUGAGCCGACUUCACUGCUGGAUCGCAAGUUUAGGAACCAGACAAUGAUUGAGGAUUUUGCUAACCCAUCAGUGAAGCCCCCCUAUCACUAUCAGGUUGAGUCACAACCCAACCGUGAUAUAUCAUUACCGGGUAUAGCCAUGAGUUGUCAUUGAUAUGGGGAAUAUCACUGUCAGGUCAGGUCACAACCAAGUAGUGAUAUAUCAAUACUGGUCAUAGCUUGACGUGGCAAUGGCACCAUGAUACCACUGUCAGGUUAUGGAUGGACCCGGCAGUGUCCUAAGCAUUCGUUGGAUUCUCCUAGCCCUGAAUACUUAUUUUUCUUCAUUGUCAAAUCUAGCCACUCAUUGCUUUUGGUUAUAAACAGGCCAACAUUAUAUUGGUCCUUUAUUGUUUCUGAGGUGUUAGGUAGCAAUGCAUAGGUUUCUCUAGAUGUGCUCUUUAUAAUCCCCCAUUGGUCGGCUAUGUCCAAUCAUGUAUCUAUCCUAAGUUCUUCCUUCGAGCUUCUAUGGGAGGACCCCUCUUUUUGAGAGCAAGCCCUCCACAUAUACCUUCCCUUCGUACUCUAGAUGGUGCACGAGAUAUAUCAGAAAAAGGUUUAUGAAGAUGGAGUCACACCAUAAUGAAGAUGCUAUGUGAGCAAUGCUAGUGUAAAAUCAAAUUAGAAAAUUGUUCUAAAGAGCUUUUGAAGAUGCUAUAGCUCAAAUUUCCUAGUUAGAGUUUCCAUGUCAUGAAGUCCAUGAUCCGUGACCUAAUGCUAUCUAGAAGAGGUGCCACGUAUGAUUUUAUCUACCGUGAAAGGAAAGAAAGUGGACACAGAAAUAUGUCGUCUAGUGGUUAACAGGCGGCUUGUAAGCAUGAGAGAUAUUUCUUAUAGGAUAUUUUUAUGAGGUAUCGUCUUUUUACACUACUCCCCGAUAAUUGUUCAGUAGUGGCUUGUCUAUUGUAUUGUUAGACAACAGUUAGACAUGACAAGAGCGAUGACAAUGCCAUGAAUAAGCACCAGCACACACAACAAUUAUUCAUCGUAGGCAAGCUGUCAGUAGACUAGAGUAUACUAUGCCUAGUCACUAUUUCCUUUCCCUCAUGAGGUGGUAUACUCUAGUCGGUAAAAAUAUUUAUACCAUCAAACCAUAGAUUGGUAAAAAUUAUAACACAUCAUAUGUCUAUAUAACUAAAUGACGUCCAACUAUUGGUCGCUUUAAAUAUGUUGGUUCUAUAUAACUUUAUGUCGAUACCUUUUACAAUGUCUAAUGCCAUACCGACCGAUUCUCUGUUGCUUUUGAAGAUGCUAUUGCUCAAAUUUCCUAGCUAGAGUUUCCAUGCCACGAAGUCCAUGAUCUGUGACCAAUUGCUGUCCAGAAGAGGUGUCACGUAUGAUUUUAUCUACCGUGGAAGGAAAAGAAUAUGGACACAGGAAAAUGUAGUAAUUAACAUAAGGCCUAGAGAUAUUUCUUAUAGGCUAUUUUAUGAGAUAUCAUCUUUUUAGAUUACUCUCCGACAAUUCGUUUAGCAGUGGCUUGUCUAUUGUAUCGUUAGACAACAGUUAGACAUGACGAGAGCGAUGACAACGUCAUCAAUAAGCACUAGCACACACCACAAUUCAUCGUAGGCGAGCUGUUAGCAGACCAGAGUAUAUGACGCCUAGUCUCUAUCGCCUUUCCCUCAUGAGAUAGUAUACUCUGGUCGGUAUAUAUAUACCAUCAAACUAUUGAUUGGUAAAAAUUAUAACACAUCUCAUGUGUCUCUAUAACUAAAUAGCGUCUAACUAUUAGUUGCUAUAAAUGUGUUGGUCUGUAUAACUUUAUACUAACAACUUUUACAGUGUCUAGUGUCAUUGGUAGAUACCUUUUAUAAUGUCUAAUGCCAUCGGUCGGUAAAGGUUAUACCGACCGACUCUCCAUUGCUAUAACAGCUUAUAGCGACACUUAUGGAGUUUGUGUAGAUGGUGUGUGGUAUGGUACAGCGUCUUAGCUAUAUAAUGCAGAGGUGAUGUAAACAGAGGCUGAGGUAGAGAUGACAAAUUUGGAUAUCCUACUACUAUAUGUAAAAUCAGGGAUUAAGUUGACAUGUUAACAAGGGCAUUUUUGUCAUACCCAAAAAUGUAACAUGAGAAAUGAUCGUUAAUAAAUAAUAUGUUCCAUGGGAUGAGACUGUCAAAUAAGACCGGGAACAUAAUUUGUGUCGAGAAGAAAUUCUUCUCUUGGCUUUAAGUGAGGAUUGUCCACCGAGAAGCGUCAUAUAUUAUUACUUUGGCCACAAGUGGUGCUUGCUUCCUUAUCCGAUGAAAGGCAUAUUUGUAUAUCUCCGUGUUGAUCUCUGUAUUAUAAAUAAAUAUAAUAUAAUAUACUCCUAUGUGCAUACAAGUACAAUGCAAUAACCGGUCAACCGGAUGUUCGAUGCGACGAUGCCGCACUACUGAACACGAACACCAGCCUUGAUGGUUGAGGCGUUGACUGACUUGUUCUCCUACCCCACAAGCGGCUGAUGCACGUCGGUUGCGUCACUUUAUUAAUUACCAAAAGAAAUGCCCUACUAAUUAUUCUGAUUGAGUUGACAUUGCUGAACUAACUCUGAACCUUUCUUGAUGCGGACUAAAACUCUUUGUAUGGAUCAGAAACAAUUAAUGAAGCGCACGUUGGCCGUUUCCUAAAACUUCAGGCUACAUUUUCUUACACCAGCUUGCUAAUUUUAUCGUCAUAGCCAUAGUUGGCAAAAAUAAUGUACGUCUAUAGCAGAAAGUGGAGUAGUACCUAGGUUUCGGAAGCUGUUGGCACUAGAAAAACUCAAGAAGUUUUUGAGGUCACCAGAUAAUCCGGCAAGGCGAUCACUGUUUCAUCCGGUGUUUUCAACGGGUCUGCGGCCAACCGAAUGGUCCUGUGGGAAGAAAAUCUAUCCGAUGGCAGGGUUUACAAUUUCUGUAAACAAAAUCCAUCGGACUUCAAUGAUAAUAAAACAAAAAAAAUUUCAAAAUAUCCAAUCAAAUUCACAUAAAUUCAUUUUAACUUUUUUGGCAUGUAUGAUUUUGCUAUAAAAUAGGACAUAUUACAAGUGACAGCAUAUAUAUUAGAUAUAUCUUUUAUAUCAAACAUCGUAAUGCCAUCCUAUGGAUAUUCCUAAAUGUGUGGCUUACCCCACUAAACCCUUGGACUAAAACAUUUUGAGGGCCUAUACCUUCAGAGCAAAUUGUGACUACCACAAAAAGUUUGGCGAGCAAAAUUGAAGCGACACUUAUGGCAACAUAAGAAAGUUUAUGACAUGUGGGACAUGGUGCUAAUGGUUUACUGGGUGGUUUUGCUUAUAUGGCGAUGUGGCCCACAUGCUAGGUGGUCUUUCUUUUUAUCUCUACAACUAAAAAGACCCGAAGGUCAUCGUCUCCAGCGGUUUUCGCCCCUCCCCUUCCGUGGUUUCGCCCCCAUCUCUUGGUUUUGCCUCCGACUCCGCACAUCUUGGUCGCCCCCCUCCCCCCCACCCCACCCAUCCAUGUCCUCGGACUCCUCGUAGUCGUCGCCGAGCACGCCCGCCGCCAGCCCUCUCCGCCGGACACGUUCUCCGAUCACGCACGGUGCCGCGCCCACCGCCAGCCCCGUCCAAGUCGCAGCCUGCGAGCACACUCGCCGCCAGCCCGCCGGACACGCCCGCCGAGCACGCCCGCCGCCAACCCUAUCCGCCGCACACGCUCUCCGAGCACGGCCGCGCCCACCGCCUAGGCGACAAGGAGAGGGGGGACGCCUGUUGCCGUCAAGGUAGAGCUCGACGAGGAUCGUCGAGCUGCUGACGUGGCGGGAGAGACAACGGCGACAGGCCGUCACAACCCGUCCCAGCCCCGACGGCUCGCAAGUCGACCUCCCCAUCCCUAGAGGCCCCAGCGCCUGGUGAGUUCCCCUCUGGUUCUCCCCCCACUCUCUUCCUCUUAGCAAGAUCUUGUCACCAUUGCCCAGGUAGACUUCCGAGGUUCUGUGAUUCGUUUCUGGUCAAUCAAAGCAUUCAAUGGGGAAAGAACAAGAGGAGAUUACUAGCUUCACUGGGUUCUAUAAUAAAAGGUGUUUAGGGGUCUCUAAAACUAAAAAGACCCGAAGGUCAUCGUCUGCAGCGGUUUUCGCCCCCCCUUCCGUGGUUUCGCCCCCAUCUCUUGGUUUCGCCUCUGACUCCGCACAUCUUGGUCGCCCCCUCCCCCCCGCCACCCCACCCAUCCAUGUCCUCGGACUCCUCGUAGUCGUCGCCGAGCACGCCCGCCGCCAGCCCUCUCCGCCGAACACGUUCUCUGAGCACGCACGCCGCCGCGCCCACCGCCAGCCCCGUCCAAGUCGCAGCCUGGGAGCACACUCGCCGCCAGCCCGCCGGACACGCCCGCCGAGCACGCCCGCCGCCAACCCUAUCCGCCGCACACGCUCUCCGAGCACGGCCGCGCCCACCGCCAAGGCGACAAGGAGAGGGGGGACGCCUGUCGCCGUCAAGGUAGAGCUCGACGAGGAUCGUCGAGCUGCUGACGCGGCGGGAGAGACAACGGCGACAGGCCGUCACAACCCAUCCCAGCCCCAACGGCUCGCAAGUCGACCUCCCCAUCCCUAGAGGCCCCAGCGCCUGGUGAGUUCCCCUCUGGUUCUCCCCCCCAUUCUCUUCCUCUUAGCAAGAUCUUGUCACCAUUGCCCAGGUAGACUUCCGAGGUUCUGUGAUUCGUUUCUGGUCAAUCAAAGCAUUGAAUGGGGAAAGAACAAGAGGAGAUUACUAGCUUCACUGCGUUCUAUAAUAAAAGGUGUUUAGGGGAUUACUAGCUUCGUUGGGUUCUAUAAUAAAAGUUGUUAAACUUGUAUAAUAAACUUUUGUCACUAUGCCCUGUCAUUCUUGUGUAUGUGUCUAUUUUGUAUAGAUUAUAUAGAUAAUAACCAAUAGUUUGUCUAUUUUGUAGAGAUUAUAUAGAUAAUAACCAAUAGUUUGUCUAUGGAUGUAGUUUGUCUUGGAUGUAGUUUGUCUUGGAUGGUACUACUAUGCACACUGCGCAGCUAAGAAUUAAGCCUUUUGCUUCAUUAAUAGUCAAAAUGUUUAUAACCUGUAAUUUUUCAAAUGUGUUUCCUUCACUGAUAAACCUAUAACUUAUUUGUCCUCAAAUUUGCAGGAGCUGCAGCAGCAUGAAAAGUUCCUUCAUCUAGCAUUGAAAUCGCUCGAGACCUGUAAUCCAAGCUUCUAUUCAUCCAGGUGAGUCCGGUCGCCAUCACCCUUUGAUUUAAAUUGUUUAUUUAUUGGACCCUUACUCUUUGGUGCAGCAAGUUUAUUUUUAUGCCUACUUAUUAGAUAGAACAUCCCUUUUCUAUUCACGCAAGUAUAUUAUUGGUGCUGCAUCCCUUUUCUAUGUAUAAAGUGUUAUAAACAUGCCAUAAAAAUAAACUGGGUUUUUACUUUUUAGUGUACUUUGAUUUGAAUAUGAUAUGAAUUUAGCCACCUAACAUAUUUUUUGUAUGCAGUUGGAAUCAAGCAAAAGUAUGGGUUAAAGUAACAAACUAAAAUAGCUCUCAAGCUGGUAUUCUUUUUAGCCACCUAAAAUAUCCUUUUUACUCUUCUGUUGGCCUAUUACUAUAUUUAAUACUGUUUGGGGGUAAGAAUUUUGCAACUUAGUUUUGUUCACAGACUUUGAUGUUUUCUACUACUUGUGAUAAGAGACAACCUCUUCCACUAUAAAUGUGUCGAUUUUGCAGCCUGCCUGUGUUGCACCUCUUCUUGUAAUGCUAGGCCCGGAAUGGAUCCAAGACAAAGUUUGGUAAUUUCUUAAGUUAGAACUCAAGUUCCAAAAACACUUGCAUAGCUGGUUGCAGCAGCUAGACAAAUUUUAUUAUUAACCUUUUUCUGUUAGUUUUCUUGAGCAUUCACUACUUUGUGCUGCUACCUUAAUGAAAUGAUGCGUAGCUCUCCUACGUAGUUCGAGAAAAAACUACUUUGUGCUAAAGAUUUUAUUUAUAUUAGUAACCUUAGAUAUCCUGCACACUUGAUCAGAUCCAUAUCCUUUUUAAACUUGUAUACAUGUUUCACUUGAAAUAAAAGGUGUUUUCCAAUCAUUCGACAAAACACCUGCAUGGACAAUUUACAAAACACCUGCUUGGUUCAGCCUAUGAUAUUUUCUUUCUUGCAUUAUUAUAAAUAAAUGUGCAUCUUUGGUAGGAAAUGGAAAUCAUGUCACCAUUGAUUGGGCUUCACCGUAAUAAGCAUGAUAAAUAAGUGCAUGAUAGUAUCAUAUAAUUGCGUGGGGUGGCUUUCAAAUAAGUCAGGAUUUAUGGAAUUUUGUGAUUACUUUAAAAUCAUAUAGGCAUUAACGCUUACUUCUCACUCUUUUAGUAGAAUUGUGACUGGCAUUACCUGCAUGAGAGACUAGGCAGAAACUCUGAAACAUAGUGAAACUUUCCUGACUAUUCUGUAAUUUUGUUCAGAAUUGGAUCGUGGUGAGAAGAUUGAACUUUUGGUGGGUAAGACAGAGACCUUACAAUCACAGGUAUUUAUUCAGUGUCCUAUGUCUGUAUGAUGAUGUAUUGAAAUCCUGUUAUAGAAACAACAUUCAACUUUGUCUUAGAAUUUUAUACAGAAUGUGGCUCUUUAGAAAUCCUGUUAUAAAAUCAGAAUUCAACUUUGACUGAGAAUUUUAUACAGAAUGUGGCUCUUUACAAAUCCUGUUAUAAAAUUGAACUCAGCUCUCAGUUAUAUAAAAUUGCAAGUUGAGUGACUUUGUGACCUGCAGUUCUGUGUGCUUUGAUUGAUUUCCAUGUGUGAAAAAUCCCUGCAGUUCUAAGUGCUCUGAUUUAUUUGUAUAUUUCUUUUUCCCUUCCUCCAAAUUGUUGCUUUAGCAUUAGAAUUUGAGAAUAAGUAAUUUGGAUAAAAAUAGUACCUGAAUGCUUAAGUAACUCUGGAGUGAUUGUUUGAUGGCAGAAGUAGAAUUAUGAGACUCAACGUUCAAAGUGCAUGCUUAUGCAAACAGUGUGGGUCUCUAUGUAAGUGGUUUAAUUAUUAAAAGUGUGUUGAAAUGCACAAUUGGUUCAGUACCCCUGAAAAAUCCGGUGUUGUUUUAUUAGAAUGGGGAAACUGACAACAAACAUUUUGAGUUGUGAACAAUUAAUAUCUACAAAUUUGGGAUGUUUUAGUUUCACCUUUGCCAUUUGUUGCUUAAGUCUAGGUACUCUUAACUCUUUAGUGGUAGUUGGUGGAGUGAAGUGAACCGAUAUGUACAAAUUCGACCAUCUAUUUUUGCCUCAGGCUUAGUGCUGAAGUCCUGACCAGAUGUAACCUUGUCGUGUUUUGCAGACUGAGAAUUUAUCCGUGAUACAUGCUUUUGAUGGUGAAUCAUUUGAGCAGUGGUAUAUAAUUCAGGAACCUAGGAAGAGGUACCUGUCCUCUCUUGUUUUUUCUUUUCUCCCUCAAGUUGUACAUGAUUGUGAGUGUUCAAUAAAUGAAUAAGGCAGAGGCUACCCUUCCUAACCAGUAGCCUGCAAAUAGAGUGACUCUAUUCUUCUAGACAUGAAUUUUAACUAAAAAGGUUAUCUACUAUAGGUCUCCUAUACUCAUUAAAUAAAUAAAAAAUCUUCACUGGGAAAUAGCAGAAGUUCCUGCCUGACUUUGGUAUACCAGCCAAAAAGCAGAGUAGAGAGAAUCAGUUGCUUCCAGUGACUCUGUCUGUACACUGUAGCCCAUAUUUACAAGCAACUAUCUAUUUGCUUGCUGAAUGGAGGCUAUCUACAUGUUAUUCAUAUGACUGUAAACUAUAACUUAUUCUCGCAUAUGUGAAGAAAUAUAGUUGUAUACUAAUCCCCCUUUCCUCAUGGUACAGGCGCCUUUCAGAUGCACAUGAGUUGGUGUCACAAUUCUAUAACAUGAAAGGUAUUAUGUCAAUCUAUUUUUACUAUUCCCUUUCACGCUUUGGUAUUCUACAUCAGAAUUAUGUGCCUCACUUGUUAAGUAAGACUUAUGCUUGCUGAAUUAAGCAGAGAGCACAAGCAACAUCGCCGGUGUGCAGCAAUACUGGGAGCAACAAAGGUAUCUCCGGAAGAAAAUUUGGCUUGAAACCUGGCUAAGACGGGAAAUUCAGGCCCUUACUCGGGUAAGCUGUUGUUUCCUAUUAGCAAUACAGUUAUUCCAUAGGUUACAAGAAUCCUGAGGGCUCUUAGCUACUGGGGUAGGCGACCUAGCUUUUUGUAAGGAACUAAGGAUACCUUCAUUCCAAAUUAUAAGAUGUUUUGGCUUUUCUAAAUACGUAGUUUUUGCUAUGCAACUAGAUAUGCACUAUGUCUAGAUGCAUAAUAAAAGCAAUGUCUCUAGAGGGGUCAAAACGUCUUAUAAUUUGGAACAAAGAGAGUAUAUAGCUUAAGCAUCAAUUGGGAUCUGUGUUUAUGCAAGGAUAUCUGGAUUUCUCUUGCUUUACUCUUGUUAUAAAUAUUCGUUGUAUAUACUAGGUUGUGAAGUGGUAUCAGAUUGACAAUUGCAUAUUUGGAUACCAAUUUGGACUCCUAAAAAAUAUCAUGCAGUUAGGGCUUUUAUUUCAUCGUUAAUGGCUCGUGGAUCAUGGUCAAAAGAGACAGUAGGAGACACUCGGAUGGUAGUACUUCUUUUGUUGCCAAAUCACAGCAGAGAAGUAGUGGAGCAUGAUACAUGUUGUAUACUUGUAUUCUUCAAUAAUUAUGUAAUUUUCAAGUUGUUAUAUGGUGAUAGAGGAUAGUGUCCUUUUUUCUUCUUUUCAUAAAGGUGAAUAGCCAUGGUGUUGCUUGAUUGUGAUGCACAUAGGAUUUUUUCCCAUGUUGAUUGCCACUGACGGACUGAUGCAUAGCAAUGUUGAAUUUUUGCAGGAUGAGAACGUUGAGGCCAUAGUCUACCACAUUCAUGGUGUCAUUGGAUCCUUCAUGAAGAGGCUUGAAAUGGAGCACAAAUCAAGGAUGAUUUCACCAGAGAAGAGGAGGGAAGAGUUCAGGAGAUUGGUCUCUGAUGCUGCUAGGUCAUUCCUCCUUGCCCGAACAGAGCGAUUCGUCACCGAGGUUGAGCUCUUCCUGGUUUCAAACCUCAACAUGGAAGCAUACAACAAAUUGUGCAUUCAGAGGUUUAGGGAGUCCAGUUCCCAUCUAACGAGAGAGCAAGAUGCGCUGCCUCAUGAUCGGUCUCUUGAGGAGCACUACUUGUAUUUUGUAUGUAACGACACGGACUGUGAUGAGAUGUAGUGAUAUGCGAUUUUUGCCACAGGUGUCCUUGUUCCCUUGUACUAUGCUGCAAUUUUUGCCACAGGUGUCCUUGUUCCCUUGUACUAUGCAUGCGUGGAAUGGUAAAAGGAUAGAAACAUCCAUUUGCAAUAAUGUGAGUAUUAACCUUUGUAAAUAAUUAUUCUUUUUUCACCUCAUAUAGUUGAUUAACUAUAACUAUAUAUGUGUAUAAAAAUCUGGCAGGAUAAUUAUGAAGUGAGGAAGCAUAUAUUGCUACACCUACUCACAUAUAUAUGGAGAAUAAAAAUAUAGCUAACAUACCUAAAGGUGUACGAGAUCAUCUUGAGCGCUAUAUUAGUCUCACAAACAAAAAAAAUGAAUUGUUGCUUAUUUUUCCUCUAUCUGUGUGAAGUUAAAAACAUCUUUCUUGUUUGUUUAUUUCAGUUAUAGUAAAUAGAGUUAUGUGUUUUAACGUUGGUUAUUAUUAUUAUAUUAUUUGUGAUGAUAUGAAAUUUUAUAUAUAAUUUGUUAUGCGAUAUUUUACCCGUAGCAACGCACGGGCACUCAACUAGUGUUAUAUAAAAAACCAUAGCUUUUAUAUUACAUCAGAUGAAUAUAACUUUAUAUCAAAAUUGUAGAUCUCCAUGUAAUCUAAAAAUUUGUAGUUGGCAAAUUUUUUAUUUGAGAUCUUUUAGAGGCUUAAAUAUCAAUUUUAAUUUAUUACAUGUUCAAUUUUAAUUUUCAAAAUUUUCCAAUAACCUAUGAUGUUGACAUGGUCUACACCAAAGUUAUAGCUCUAAAUGCUAUUUACAGCUUUGUUGUUGUCAUUUUUAAAAAAAUUCAAAUGAGCUCGUACAUCUACAUGGUAUAGACCAAAGCGACAUAUCUCAAUGCAUAUAUAACUUUGUGGUUGAAAAUAUUUUUAUUUGAGAUCGUUUAGAUGCUUAAUUUUUUUAUUGUAAGUUCUCUAGUUAUUACAAUUAAAUUUUUGAAUUUUUUAAAAAUGACCUUGGAUGAAGACAAUACAGAUCUGUGGUGCUUGUAUACAUCUAAAACUUUCACUAGUAGAAUCAGGCUCAUAGCUGGCAACCCCUUUUUAUACCACAGGCGGUUCCAGUUACGACGCGCCUGUGGUAUAAAUAGGGCGGUGUCAGAGAUUUUCGGCUGCCUGUGGAAACAUUUAUCACAGGUGGUUGACUUAAGCCAACCGCCAGUGUAAAUACUCCAUUUACACUGGCAGUUGGCUUAAGUCAACCGCCUGUGAUAAACUGUUUCCACACGCGGUUGGCUUAAGCCAACCGCCAGUAUAAAUGGAGCAUUUACACUGGCGGUUGGCUUAAGUCAACUUCCUGUGGAAACAAUUUAACACAGGUGUUGACGGUCCUUAAGUAUCAAAUUUAAUUAUCAAAUAAACACAGAAAAGGAUCCAAAUGAAAUCAACAUCUAGACUUAGGGUUUUAUCUGACAGAAUUCCACGAGUUUUGUUAUUUGUCUAUUUCUGCAGGGGGUUAUCAGGAAAUAAGGAAGAAAGGCCCACAUGUCGGGAUUACAUAGAGAUAUCAACCCACCGCGCAAUUUUCUACCAUCUAGAAGACUCCAGAAGCCACGGGAAGGAAGCGGAGCCCGAAAGGGGCCAGGCCCAGGGCGCCCGCCCUGAGGACCUGGGCGCCCGCCCCCCUCUGGACUCCGUUCCGGACUCUCUUCGCACACGACGUUCCACCGACCUAUUGGAUCCAGAAUAACAUAGUACCACCUCGCCUAUCGACCCAAAAACGCAUAGAAGGGGAGGACUACCCCUCUGGCCCCUGGAGGAGACAAGAAAUUAUCAUAGAGAUUGAGGGGUGCCCUCGAAGGAAAACCUCUUCUCUAAAUAAUAUUUCUUUUUAGGCUUAGCAACCAAUGUAAAGUAGAAAUAGAUCUUCUAGUUUCUACUAGAUUGAGAGAGAUAGAGUGGAGGUGUGGAUCGGAGGAAGGCCGGCCUGUCGGUGUCUACUCCGAGUUGUACCUGCGGGAUCAAGUCUCCUAACCCGAGGCUUGCUUCUAAGAUUCUUCAGUAAUUCGACUUCUAAUACUAGUAAGUUCUUGUUUUAUUGUUCUUUGGUUUAUGAGUUUACUUUAAUCCUCUUCCGGUUGAGUAUUAGAGUAAUCACUUGUUAGCGUAAACGUGGUGUUUAGGCUAGGGUACUCAUAGAUAUCCCCUGACUAGCUGGACCGUGGUAGUAGCGAGGAACGUGACAUUUCCGAGUUACCUUUGCAGAUCACAUCUCGUUAGCAGGACGGGUAGGUUUAUAGGUGCGGGUCGAACAUCCUUUGUGUUGUCUAGAUUCCGUGAGCCUCCCCAAUAGAACAGUAGAUCAUCCUUACCAAGGUUAGAACGAGACUACGGUUGCAGUCUUCUCUAUACAUCACUCACAUCGAGAAACAUUCUUUGUAGCCUAAAGGGAUAGUAGCAAUAGAUUUGGUUAGUCAGAUGCACCCUUUCUCCCAGUGGUAAAAAUAUAAAUACGAUAACUCUGGAUAACCUUCCGGGUGAAAUGCUCACCGAUAUCCGUGCGCUUGCGGAUCAUUUUCUAAUUGCGUUACCAAAUAUCAACAAGCAUUUCUGGCGCCGUUGCCGGGGAGAAAGACGGUUUGCUGAGAUAACUUUGAGUCUUGCUAUUAUCUUGUAUUAUACUUUUAUACUUUUAUUCUUUUAUCUUUUUAUUUUUAUCUUUAUGGAUAACUCAAAUUCCAUACCUAUUAUUGAAUUCUUUGCACCUUCGGAGACCAGCCAUAGACCAUGGGAGUCAACACGUUCUGCCCCUAAUUAUGAUCUGUGUCCGGAGUUGAUUGCAAUAGGUCAAAACCAACCCUUUUCUAUAGCCGAGGUCCUAUCUUUUAAUCAAAAAGAUAAUGCACUUUUAGCUACACCUAGGGAAUCUAUUAAUCUUUUUAUAAAUUCUGGUUUAGACCUAGCCCUACAAGACCAUGUUUUUCCUAGAUAUUUUCACAUUGGUCUUAAUCAUAUAACCUUUGGUAGAGUCCUUCUUUCUUUAUCUAUUAGUAAAGGAAGGUAUGUCUUCAUUUGUGGACAUCCUUCUUGUACUAGUCUUCAUAGAAAAAUCUUAGAGAUAGAGAAGGAAUCAUCUCCCAGACGAGGAAAGGAAGUUUCAAUAGCCGAUUUCCAAACAUUUCAAUCCCAUAAUUCGGCUAUCCAACUCAUCCUAGAGUUUAAUAAAUUCUACUAUGCUCUUUCUCUUGAACCUCCCGAUAAUCCUAUGAAUCUCUCUAGACAUCCCAUGCAUAAGAAGGAGGAUCGAGAAGAGCAACAUCGAUGGCUAGAGGGCAUUAAAAAUCCAUGUGCUAUCACCAUUGAAUGGAUAGAUAAAACAAACUUGAGAGACAAUCCUAGAGGAAUUUUAAGCAUUCAUGAAGAAUCAUCCUUGGAGUUUGAGAAUGAGAGAAACAACAGUGAGCAUGGAAGUUAUUUCAUAAAUACCUUACCAAGUCCUUGCGCAUAUAAAACAUCUCCCCAAUCAAUCGGUCUCUCCAUCAUCACCACAUUUGAGAUCUCCAACCCCCUCUUCCUUUCUAUUUAUAAAAACUUUAAAAGGGCGGUUGUCGAUGCAUAUGUCUAUAAUAAAUAUUGUAGAUCUCGUUGAGUUGAUCUUGAUAUAGGUAGGUGUUGGAGGGGAAACCACUUCACCAACAUAACUUGAUGGUUUCCCAAGGAUAAGCUUAGCAAGCACUUAUCAGAUCGUAACAUGAACUUCUAAUUAUUUGCAACAUUGCCUUGUGUAUUGAGCAUAUUGAGAUAAUUAUAGAAAUAUUCCUUCGGGUAUUCUUGCCACUAACCUUUCCAGGAUUGGAGCAAGAAGAUCGGAUGAAUGACAAGCGCAAGGUAUGCCCAACCAAUCAUCAUGCAACGUUAAAUUAAAUUCAUCCAAUCUUGAAUUUUGCAAAAUUCAAGCUUGGGGGAGUACUUUACAUAAAACAUCCUUUGCCAUGCUGCUAUGUUGGUUGUCCUUACCUUUGAGACAUGCUCAAUUUGUUAAAUACUAAUCACACCACUUGAGUAGAUCUCUAUAAAAGCCAUCAUGCUACCUUUGUUUAUCCUAGUAAGUGUUAGUUUGGAAGUACUGGACACACUUCCAAUGGCAUUUAAAUUAAGCGUGGUGCUUAGGUUAAAUAGCCUUCCUUAAUCUGAUUAGACAUGGAGUCUAGUUUGGUUACUGAACUAAAAACUGCUUGAGUAGAUAUUGGUAUAUUUUGUGGGACUAACCCCUGCAGGAGAACUUUCAAUAUCAACCUGGAAAGUCCUGAGAUAAACUCAAAUUUGAGAUGAAGAAAGUGACACAUGAAGUUUAACAAUUUGCACAAGAAAGACGUAGCUCAUAAGAGAUGAUUCAUGGAGGGUGCCACAAACACGAUGCACAACCACUAAGAAAGGAAAGCUUCCACAAGGUGAUACUAUACCAUCACUCUUCAAUAACAUUUUAAAGUACUUGAUUAUCACUUUUAUAAGUUCUCCUUGGUUCUGGCAUACACAUGAAUAAAAGAGACAAACAUGUAUGAUUUAUAACUCCAAAUUAACCAACUCAAUUAAUUCAGCAUGUUUAGUCCUUUAAUCUUUGUUCUUCGUACUACCUUCAUGAUCCCACACUCCUAAUCAUAUAAGCUAAAGUAUUGCACAUUCAAUCUUUGGAAGAUAUAAACAAAACAUAAAUAUAGAUAGAUUAUCUUUCCAUUAGGUUGAGCCAUCUGAUCUGACAAAUGCUACACUCAUGAUCCAUCAACUUUGUCUUGCUCACUAUGCUUAAGGUUAGAGAAGAACAAAUACACUUUUGGUUCUGUUGGUGUUUUCCACCAACAGGGCCCAUGCACUUGAUCUCUACCUUGUUUCUAUGAGCAGGAACACUUCGAGCAUAAUAUGAAGGAGUUUUACAACUCCCAGAUUCCACCAAGUGAAGAACUAGGAUCUACGAGCACAAACACACUGGAGAUACUGGACGCUCAGGCAAUCACUGCCCUAAGAUGCUUGAGGACGUGAACUACAUCAACAACAAUAACAACUAUUACUACAACCGUCCCCAACAACAUCAAGGUUGGAAUCAACAGAGGCCUAAUUACUCAGAGAGGUGAUCUAGGAUGCCCUGUCAUCCCGAUCUCCAUCGGCAUGGUGGACUUCCCAGAAGCACUCUGCGACUUUGGCUCCAGCGUCAACAUUAUGCCCAGGGUUGCAGAUCGGACACUCAGUUUCCCAAAGGAAAUAUUGAAGAACCUCUGCGUCCGAGUUGGUACCUUGUAUGCUCUAGCAGACUUCAUGGUGAUAGAGACUGGUACUGAGGAGAGGGCACCCAUCAUCUUAGGGAGGCAAUUCCUAAACACUAGAGCUAUCAUCUACGCUAAUGCUGCCAAGAUCAGUCUCUACAUCAAGGGGAAGAAGGAGACUUUCCUUCAAGAACAAGACUACACAAACUUCAGAGCAACCCCGACAUCAACCAAGGAAGAGGACCAACAGGAGGAACAGGAACAAGCAAAUGUGGACCGAGUCAGCUAAGAUGGUCACUGCAGUUCAAGGAGGUCAAGAUCGUCGACUCAAGUCACCUUUCUUGAUCAAGAAGGACAACCCUAGUGUUCCAAGCAUUGAGUGCACAAUUAACAGAUACUCUUUUUAGAAGACACUCUACGACACCGGAUCUGACGCCAACAUAAUGGCCGUAGUCACUUAUCAGCUCCUGCAUGGAACCAUGCCCCUACAACCAAUAUAUAUUCAGCUCCAGAUGAUUUUCAGAUCAUUGACAUGGGAGACGACGAGUACGAUCCACCCAUCAUCCUUCGAAGACCGUUCCUCAGCACUAUCAAAGCCAUUAUCUAUAUUGGAACCGGAGAAGUCCACAUGCACUUCCCCUCUGAGAAGGUACGCAGCUAUUUUACUGACCCUAACUAUAUAGUUGAAGACUCUAAACAGGUCAGGACAAGAAGAAGACAACGCAACCGCAACCAGAAGAGGCAAAUCAUCAAGGACGGAUGGGUAGACUACGAAGGAGAAGUGAUAAGGACUGAAGACAUACCACUUGAACAUAACUGUCCUGAGGAGACCGUAGCACCGAGUUAGGUGUGGAGAGAGAAGAUAGUUAUAAAUGAAGAGGAGGCGCUGCCGGAAGUACCGACUACGCCACCCAACGAACCUCUGGACGAUUAAGAAAAUGGAGAGUCCCGCUCGGAGGACUUAAAAACACCGAACGCCUUGCCAAGAGGUAAACUUGGUAGUUAUCCUUUCCCUUUUAAUUAUUUCAAAUAGUUUACUUAGUUAAUCAUGUUCGUAUUAUCCUAGAAAGAAAAUAAAAAUGUGAAAAAAACUGUAAGCCCCAUGUGAGUAGACGAGUGGCAUAAAACCCAUAAGUACAUUCACUGUGGUGGCAUAAAAAUAAAAUAAAUAUUUUUCUGCUUUAUAAAAACAAAAAUAUAAAAACAGGGAGUAAUAUUUAUUAAGGAGUCUCAACAUGAUAAAGGCUAGAUAUUUAUGCUAACACUUAAUCAGUUCCACAAGCUUUGUUGUCUAUUUGAGCUCCACAGAAUUUAAGAAUCAAGAAGACUACCAGACGGAGGACAUUCUAAUCUGUCAAAAUACUGCUGACUUUCAAACACACCUCUGCCACCUGCUAGCUACAUCAAGAGAAAUUACGUCAAAAUUCAGCUUCGGGGAGAGCACCCCCAUUUAUCUCGAUAAGUAUUUCUAUCUAUCUUUAUACUUACACUAUAUUAGAAUAUUAAACUACAUAAACUAUGAAAAACCCAAAUAAAGAUUUUGUGCUUUUAUAUAUAUAUCUUUGCUUAGUUUGCUAAAUAAAUAAAUAAAUAAAAUUUGCUAUGAACCCUCGUGAUAAGCUCUCUCAUGGAAAUGAUGAAUAGUUGCUCUGCCAUGACUAGUUCUUAAAAUUGAAAUCUCUCUCAAGUUUAGGCAUAACUGUUAUAAUUUAAAGCUUGCUCUAGACCUAAACUUGUGGGAUGAAAACUUGAUCUGAAGUCUAAGUUGUUAACGGACUGUUGUUCAUCUGUUCCUAGAGAUGCUAGAAUUCUGGAGAAUUUUAUCUUUGAAAAAUCUUUAAAAUAACACAUGAUGAGUUCCUGUAUGAUGAGAGUUUAAAUUCCUACCACAGCCAUAUAUACAUGCUUGCUAGACCUUGAGCCACACAUUUACUAUUUACUGCUUAUGAGCAUUGAGUGUGGUCAAGCUGUGUAGACCCUUAGGAGCUUGUCAUGUGGUUAAAUCAAGAUUUCACUUGCACGUUCACUCAUAUAUGCUACUUCUACUCCGGAAGUACCAUCCACAUAUAUCCACCCAUUCCAUCUCCAGAAUCAUCCAAAAAUAUUCUACUCCUAAUCCGGGAGAGAAUAGCCAAAAAUAUUUUCCUAUCCCUGUUAUUCCCUGUGAAAUAAAUGCUCAAGUUAUCUUGUUACUACCACUUGCUAUAUUAUCUCAAGAGAUGAAUGCUCUGAAAAAAAGAGAAAAAAAGAGAUACGAGGAAAUAAAAAGGAGCAAGUGCUCGGAACCUCGAAAGAAAAGAAAAAGUGAGACGAGAGGUAAAAAUAGACAAGUGUCCGACAUUAGAAAUUAGGGGUACAAGAUACCCACCUGAGAUAAAAGAAAAAGAUGAGCAUCUCAUUCUCCUCAUAAAGUUUCAAAAAGCAAGGAAGGUAUGUAUCCCCUCAAAGAGCAAAGUAGAAUUAGACUUCCACCUCCAUUGUUUUCACCAUUGUUAUCACCAUCAUCACCAUACACCAUUCAUUCGCCACACAUGCACAUCUUGAUUUGGCUUAUUGAUUUGUUACUUUGGAUCCAUGGUUUGACUAUGCAAUAAAUGUCUUGUAAGUAUGUAUACUUUAUCUCCCACCUAUGAGCUCCAGAUAUUAAAGCCUUAUUAGAGUAGGGUGAGAGAGAAGGCAAUGUCACUAUGCCUCAUACCACAAAUACCACAUAUUUUGAGAGAAUGCAUAUACCAUCACUGCCUUGGUAAAGAUCCAGAAAUACCACAAAAGAGAGACCUGAGAGAAUCAUACAAGGAAUUUCUGAGUUUUAUUUGAAAAUCUGCAAAAACCCCAGAGCUAAAGCUGAUCAAGAAUAAGAGACAUGGCACUUGGCUAGACUGUUCUAUCUUUUAACCACUCAAGACAGAAGUGACGGUUACAAGUCCUAUGGUGUAGGUAAAGUAAGUAAGUUUUAAGUCUUAACAGUUUAUUCUAACUCAGAGAUGAGAUCUUGCUUAAAUGCGUGUGUACUUUUGAGAAAUGAAACCACUGCAGAAACUCUUGAGUUCAUCCUUGCUCAGGGCCGAGCAAGAGGUAAGCUUGGGGGAGUUUGUUGACGGUCCUUAAGUAUCAAAUUUAAUUAUCAAAUAAACACAGAAAAGGAUCCAAAUGAAAUCAACAUCUAGACUUAGGGUUUUAUCUGACAGAAUUCCACGAGUUUUGUUAUUUGUCUAUUUCUGCAGGGGGUUAUCAGGAAAUAAGGAAGAAAGGCCCACAUGUCGGGAUUACAUAGAGAUAUCAACCCACCGCGCAAUUUUCUACCAUCUAGAAGACUCCAGAAGCCACGGGAAGGAAGCGGAGCCCGAAAGGGGCCAGGCCCAGGGCGCCCGCCCUGAGGACCUGGGCGCCCGCCCCCCUCUGGACUCCGUUCCGGACUCUCUUCGCACACGACGUUCCACCGACCUAUUGGAUCCAGAAUAACAUAGUACCACCUCGCCUAUCGACCCAAAAACGCAUAGAAGGGGAGGACUACCCCUCUGGCCCCUGGAGGAGACAAGAAAUUAUCAUAGAGAUUGAGGGGUGCCCUCGAAGGAAAACCUCUUCUCUAAAUAAUAUUUUUUUUAGGCUUAGCAACCAAUGUAAAGUAGAAAUAGAUCUUCUAGUUUCUACUAGAUUGAGAGAGAUAGAGUGGAGGUGUGGAUCGGAGGAAGGCCGGCCUGUCGGUGUCUACUCCGAGUUGUACCUGCGGGAUCAAGUCUCCUAACCCGAGGCUUGCUUCUAAGAUUCUUCAGUAAUUCGACUUCUAAUACUAGUAAGUUCUUGUUUUAUUGUUCUUUGGUUUAUGAGUUUACUUUAAUCCUCUUCCGGUUGAGUAUUAGAGUAAUCACUUGUUAGUGUAAACGUGGUGUUUAGGCUAGGGUACUCAUAGAUAUCCCCUGACUAGCUGGACCGUGGUAGUAGCGAGGAACGUGACAUUUCCGAGUUACCUUAGCAGAUCACAUCUCGUUAGCAGGACGGGUAGGUUUAUAGGUGCGUGUCGAACAUCCUUUGUGUUGUCUAGAUUCCGUGAGCCUCCCCAAUAGAACAGUAGAUCAUCCUUACCAAGGUUAGAACGAGACUACGGUUGCAGUCUUCUCUAUACAUCACUCACAUCGAGAAACAUUCUUUGUAGCCUAAAGGGAUAGUAGCAAUAGAUUUGGUUAGUCAGAUGCACCCUUUCUCCCAGUGGUAAAAUAUAAAUACGAUAACUCUGGAUAACCUUCCGGGUGAAAUGCUCACCGAUAUCCGUGCGCUUGCGGAUCAUUUUCUAAUUGCGUUACCAAAUAUCAACAACAGGCGGUUGACUUAAACAACCGUCUGUGUUAUCUCUGUAUAAAUACCCCUUCUUCCUCCUCGACCAGAACAGUAUCUCGCAGCCACCUUCCAUUGGAGGCGAUUUUAGAGUUCCAGAUUUCUCAAAAUACAAGGGGGAAGGUUUUGAUCUUCAUUUCUAGGAAGGAGGUUGCUAAAAGAGGUUAGUUUAUGUCCCUAUUGCCUCAAUUUGCUCAUUCUAGCUCAAUUUGAACCACUUUUUGGAUCUAGGGUUUCACCAUGAGUGAGAGAGAAGAAUAGCUAGCUUUUUGUCUUGAUUUGUUGAUAUGGUUAGAUGGGGUUGUUUAAUAUGGUUGGAUAAUGUCUCUCAACAUGUUUGCUUCUCAAUUUAGCUAGUUUUUACAAGAUUAAACCAAUGGUGUGUUCUUGUAUAUUUAUGUAGAGAGAUAAUUGUUGAUUUUUUUAAUUAUAUGAUAGUUAGGUUUUUUAUUGUCACCUUCCACAUCAUCUAUCUAUUUAUAAUGAAUAUUGUAUUUAUAUAGUUAUGCUAUACUUAGGUUUUCUAAUUUAUGUCUCUCUCUUUUUAUAAAUUUUUCAAUUUAUUUAUCAACAUGUAUGUAUGUUUUAUGAGUGAGAGAGAAGAAUAGCUAGCUUCUUGUCUUUAUUUGUUGAUAUGGUUAGAUGGGGUUGCUUAAUAUGGUUGGAUAAUGCCUCUCAACAUGUUUGCUUCUCAAUUUAGCUAGUUUUUACAAGAUUAAACCAAUGGUGUGUUCUUUGUAUAUUUAUGUAGAGAGAUAAUUGUGGAUUUUUUUAAUUAUAUGGUAGUUAGGUUUUUUAUUAUCACCUUCCACAUCAUCUAUCUAUUUAUAAUGAAUGAUGUAUUUAUAUAGUUAUGCUAUACUUAGAUUAUUUUUUAAUUAUGUAACUUAGGUUUUUUCCUUUAAUCUCAAGUUUAACCAUAAACCCUAGAUAAUAAACCCUAGAUAAAUCCUUUGCAAACCCUUAGAUCAUAUGAAUGGUGUUUUACAGGUAGUGAUGGAGAGGUCAUUUUGGAUAUAUAAUUUAUCAAGACUAGAUCCAUCAUACAUAACUGAGGUCCAGAGGUUUAUUGAUGCUGCUCAAAACCAUGCUUCAAGAACAAGAAAGACGCACAUACAUUGUCCAUGCAUGGAUUGUAGAAAUCUUGUUGUAUCUGAUGACAUUCAACAAAUCCUUACUCAUCUGGUCCGUCGAGGAUUUAUGAAAGAUUACUUGAUUUGGACAAAGCAUGGAGAGGGUAGCUCGGCGCCUUAUAUAACUGGAAUUGUUGACGGGUUUUAGUUCGUACACGAGACACAACAACCUAAUACCGAUGGUCUAGCCACUGAACAUGUUGUGUCAAAUGUUCCUGAUCAUGGUUUUAUUGGAGGAAAUGAAGAUGGCACCGAAACUAACUCCUAAACCCUAAACCCUAGCUCCAGAGGAGGCCCUACACAAAUACAGGAACACAAUUGGUAUCUGUGUGAGGGACUUUCUUGAUAUCACAGUUAAGAACUGGUCCGGUGUGUCGAAUAAUCACAAGAUCAAAAUUUGGGAUAAGAUUAAGACAAGGUUCCAGUUUCCUAGGAAUGUGCCAGAAGAUUUAGUGAAGGCAUAUACAAUGAAGCAAUGUGCGGUUAGUUUCCGAAAUUGGAGGUCGGAGAUGAAUAUCAAGUAUGCAAAGACAGGGAUGGAUCCGAUAUCCAAAUACAAUAUUACUAAAGGGCAGUGGGCUGUUUUUCUAGAGCAGAGGAAUGACCCUAACUUCUUAGCUCGGAGCGAAGCCAACUCCCAGCUCGCAAAGAGGAACAAGUACCACCACCAUCUAGGCACAGGUGGUUACCGGCACCAAGUUCCUAAAUGGAGGCAAGAAGAAGCUGCGAAGAAGGCAGUAGGGUUGCCAGUGCUGUUCGAGCAAGUCGGUGAAAGGUCCGCGAAUUGGAUCCGUGCUUGGAAACCAAAGGAAACCGAGACGGGUGUGUCCUUUGAAGACCCAAUGCUUGAUGAAGCAAUGAAGAGCAUCUUUGCAGUGGCAGGCAUGCAGCAGGAAGGCAAGUUUACGCCAUGAAGGGAGAGGGACAUCCUUAGUGUUGGCCUCGGUAACCCCGAGCAUCCUGGCCGUGUUCGAGGCAUCUCAUCCAAAGAAGGAUGGAAGGAUGGAUUCGGCCCUCAAUGGAAAAAUGAGUAUAAGAAACGUGAUCGGUACAAGGAACAAAUGGCAAAUUAUUUUCAGGAAGAGGCUAAGAAAGACUUCCAAGAGAUGAUGGGGAAGUUGCUAGAAAAUCCUCCUCCUGAGUUGAUACAGAAACUAGCGAGUGCCAUGUCAAAUGCAGCUACCCAAAUGAGCACUCAAGCUCCCCAAAUGCAGCUAGUCCCAGUGGUGUCGCAACCGUUGGUGGCAUCGAGUGAAACAAUCAUUCCAAGCAGUGUCGCAUCUACGGCAAACAAGGAUCACUAUCCAGUUGACGACAUUGUUACUUCUACACCUUGCUCCCUUGUCAUAAGAUAUGGGAUUAACAAUCAUCGUACAAGGGAAGUAGCCACGAGCAAAGCGAUCCCAAGAGGACCUAAAUACCAUGGUGCUGACAUUCCUAAAGACUACUGCAUAGUAGAGGUAUCAACCGUGGUCCAAGGAUAUGAGGAUGAGAUUCUAGACAUCCCUGGUCCCGAGGACACUGUGAAACUAGGACAGGUGAUAAACAAUUUCAUCCUUUAGCCUCGGAGGGACGUGCAACUAAGGAGCCACCACCACCCUCUCAAGAGAUUCCACUAACCCAGGAGUCGUCAGCUCAUGUCGAUCCUCUUCCUAACCCACUGCCUUCACCUCCCCAGUCUCUUCCUGACCCACCAGAAUCACUUCUCCACGUUUUCCCUGUCCAUCAACCAUCUCCUCUCUAUGUUCUUUCUACCCCACAGUCAACACAAUCUCCACCACCAUUCAAUUCCACCCCUUCCCCACAACUCAAAGAUCCAGAACCAAGAAGUGAGCCACCAAAGGUGCCAAAGAAGAAAGUAUUUCCAAUACCUAAGUUGAUUUCACCAUACGAGCCAAAGAAAAAAUCAGCUGGGCAAGUGAGAUUUUUGUCAGGCAUUGCUUCGAAACGCACAAUACAAGAGCACGAGAUUUCUGAGCUAGCAAAGUCAGAGGUGCCGGCGCCUAAGGUCAUAACUCCUGUCAAUUUCAAGGUGCCAACUGCAGAAGACUACAAGAAUAUCCCCAAAAAGUACGUGUGGGGAAAGCCUCUACUCAGUCGGACCAAACUUAUGAAGAAACCAAGUGGUAUAAAAAGGUUUCAUGACUGGUACAUGAGAGCCUCUUCUGCUGGCAUCGACACCAUAAGCAUGCGCAUACCACAAAUAGCAUUUCUCAGCCACAAAUAGCAUUUCUACUGACAAAUGCAUGUUUACAUUUGAUGACAUGUGGGCAUUGAUGAACCACGAGAUGCUAGAUGUACAGAUCGUAACGACAUUUGCAUUGUAAGUGUUACAUAGUUACACACAUUGUAGUUGCAUCAAUUUUCAAUAUCUGACAUGCUUCUAUCUUGCAGAAUGUUAUAUGAUCAACAAGAUUUGUAUUUUGGUUCGGAUCUUAAUUAUUGUGCCGAAGAAAGAAAUGCCUAUCUCUAUCCAAUAGAUAUAGCUGAAGAUCGGCACACAUUCCAGAUCGGGAAUGACAGCAGAGAGGUACAGGGUUUGGAAGGUGCAGAACGGGAUGAGAAACUCCGAAAAUUGAAACUUGAUUUUGAUGCCAAAUACGCCUUCUACAUUGGAAAUUCGCUAAUAAAGUUUCAAGAUAGAAAAGCGUUGGUGGCCCCGUACCACUUUGGGUAAGUGUGAGUUUACAAAUAUCUAUCUAAAUUAUUCCAAUGCAUAAAUGCAUCAUGGAUUUAAUUCGAGCAGGAGGCAUUGGAUAUGCUUCAUCAUUUAUCCCAAGGAGGGAAGGGUGUUGGUACUAGACUCCGCAGAUUACCCGAAAGAAAGCUAUGCUCCAUUCAUCAAACUGCUAGAGCUGUAAGUCAAGCUAUGCAUGCAUACUUAAGCAUAGUGAGAAUUUGACAAUAACAUGGUGAUUCUAUUUGAGAUCAUAGGGCAUACAGGUUCUAUAAGAUAAAUCAUGGAAAGUGCGAGUCCAAGAGACCAGGGCAACCAUUGGAGGUUAUACAUAACUGGCCGGUACGUAUAAAAACUUACUAUUAAGAAUACAAAUCAUACACAUACAACCACAGUUGCAACUAUAAUUAAAUAACCACUCUCCUGUUAUACAGUGCAUGAAGCAACCACCGUUAUCUGUCCUCUGUGGCUACUACGUGUACGAGAACAUGAGAGAAAACGGACGAUAUGCAAGGAACCCUGACAAGGUAAUAUAAGUAAUAGUCUAUUAAAGUUGGAAGUCAUAAAAUAUAUAAUGUUUAUAAACUUUCUUUGCAGGUAUAUAAGCAAGGGACGACGGAGCGCAUGGACGAACGUGCUUUAGACAACAUAGUUGAGGACAUCUGCUUGUUCAUCAUGAAGCAUGUCAUUCCACGUGAAGGCAAAUGUCAUGAUGAUGAAAGCCAAUUAUCCAGGCCACAGUUCCGAGUGCUAACAGAGAUUAGUAAGCUCAAACUUACUAAAGAGGGUUAUUAGAGAGCAGAAACAAACUUUGAUGUGUAUAUAUAUAUGAUGUGUGAUGAUGGAUAUACUCUUGUAAUUAACUUUAUGUCUUUGAGCACCAAACUUUGAUGUAUACAAAUGUAUGUAUGAGAUGAAGUAUUUAAAUUACAUGUUGCUAUGUUAGAAGACCAACCAUCAAUAUAUUUAAAUAAUAAAUAAAUAAAUAAAUUAAAAAAAUAAAUAAUAUAUAUUUUAAUAGGUUUACACAUGCGGCUCUGUUAGGGAACCGCCUGUGUAAAUGAACAUUUACACAGGCGGUUCCCUAAGAGAGCCGCCUGUGUAAAUGGUUUCUACUGGCGGCUCUCAAGCAACCGCAUGUGGAAAUGGACGAUUUCUACUGGCCUCCAGCGCAGACGAAUCUGGAAAACGCCUGUAGAAAUAUGUUACCAACCGCCUGUAUAGUGUGCCCAUGUACUAGUGUUUCUGGUUCAUUUUUUUCCAUUUGAGAUCCUUUAAGAGGUUAAAUAUUUAAUAAAAGAUGGUAUGACUUAAAAGACUGAAAAUGGUAUGACUUAAAUAUUUAAGAGCUUGUCAAGACUCAAGGCUCAGGAGCAGGCAGCUCAAUGAGCUCGUGGACAACCAAAUGGAUGAGUUUGUUGGGGUUGCCAAGAAAAUGUCACUAAAAGUGGCAAGGACAAGCUGGUAUAGCUGGCGGCUCAGUGCAGUGAAUUUGGGUGAUCCUUGCUUCAGAUGGCGCUAACUUGGGCUGUUGAAGCUCUCCUGGCGAGAUCUCUUUUAGGUAGAAUAAGAGGCAAAUGGUAUCAUGUCAUCGUAGUGUUAGAACCAAUACAAACCUAGGCCCUGAGUAGAUUUUGUCAUGGCAGAUUUUUAUGUACUUCAGUUCUGGAGUAUUUGAUGAGGAUGUUAUGCAAAAUCAAAGAAAAUUGUUCCAUACACUGCUUCUCUUGGGGCAUUGAUUGAUUUUUUAGUGUGUCAACUGAUUAGUGAUAUGUUUACAAUUAUUGUGUAUAUCAUUAUAAACUACAAUUUACUUUGAUUUUGUCCUAGGUCAGACAUAUCUAACUUUAACCAAGUUUAUAAGGAAAUGCAUUAACAUCCACAACAUCAAAUUAGUUAAAUUAAAUGGACCAUGAAUCAAACUUAGAAGUUAAGAGGAAGUUAAAGUGACAUAUAAUUUGAAAUGGAGAGAGAGAGAGAGAGUAAAAUUGUGAUAAUUCUAAAAGUAAAACACAGAAAAAUGCAAAUUAACAAUAGCGAAAAUUGUAGUAACAGUGACGAUAGGAUAUCAAAGGAAAAUAAUUGAAAAAUAACAAAGCUCUGUAUAUGGUGGAAUGGAAAGGCACAUUUUCUCAAUCCUUGCUUCAGAUUAUUCAAGCUUUUUUGUUAUCACUAUUACUAGUCACUAACAUACAAACAGCCAAACAGGGUAACUAUUUGUUAAAAGUACAUACAAAGCAUGGGGAGCUCACAGUCCCUGGAGAAACUGCAACUUAACCUUAUUACUCGCACACACAAGCUCGGUCUCUCCAAGUCCUUGAACAUACAUAUAUACUGCAGAUUCAAAACAGUGCACAAAUAUACACUAGUGCGUCUUCACAAGACAAGUUCAUAAGAAACACCCGUUGUAGACUUGUAGAGGGAUGCUGGGAUGCAUCAACCAUGAACCGAAACCAGGUACAGGCACAGCUUCAUCUCGCCAAAGGACGAAAUGUGGACACCAUAGCUUCUAUGUCACUCCCUCGGCUUACCCUGGUGCUACUGUCCUUCUCACGAGUUUCCUCCAACGCUAGGCUCUCCUUCAACUGUAUGACAACGGUGGCCAUCGUUGGCCUUUGAGCAGCAGAAUCCACGGUGCACAUCAUAGCCGUGUCGAUUACCUUCCACAUGGAGCUGAUGUCAUAGGCAUUUCCAAGUCGCACAUCGGCAAUUGAGCCGAUGUCGCCAGUGGCAAUAUUCUGUUUAACACGCCGAAUGAUGUGGCCAUGGCCUGGCACUAUUGGAGGCUUGCCAGUGGCUACCUCAAGUAGAACAACUCCGAAGCUGUACACAUCGCUGCUCUCAGUGAGCCUUCCAGUGUGGUAGUACCUGAAGAAACAGCAACAAGAAGUUCAAGAUAAACACUUCAUACCAGCAGCUGGCAACAAUACUUCACUACAGCAGAGCUACAUGCACAUUCGCAAAACACAGCACCAGAUGAGCCUAAUUGCGUUGAAUAAGAAAACUGCAAGAGAAGGAAACCAUGUUGCCUGUAUUAAGGCGAGUUUUACUAGUUUUCUUUCACUUAGUACUCAUUCAAGAAAUAAGCUACAUGGACAAAAAAAAGAAAUGAUAAUAGAAUACAAAUGGAAAGAUAAGACAUACUCAGGGUCCAUGUAACCAGCUGUGCCAGCUGCAGUGGCUGAUAUGUGAGUUUGUGUAUCGCUAAGAUAUGUCUUGGAAAGUCCAAAAUCUGCGAUUUUAGCUUGCAGAUUUUGACCCAAGAGAAUGUUGUUGGUCUUCACAUCACGGUGAACUAUUGGCAAAUUGCAACCUUUGUGCAGAUAAUCCAAGCCUUUAUAUUUCACAGGAAAUGCCAAAAAAUGAGAAUAACAAUAAUGACCACAUGAAGGAUCUGCUUAAUUCCAGUUUUCUUGAUGUGCUUUUGUUGCGGCAUACCUUGUGCAGCUUCAAGCACUACUUGUACACGUUUCCUCCAAUUCAAGGCUUCAGAAACACCAUUUUUUCCUUCAAUUUUUAACAUAACAGAACAGUUUAAAAGCUUCACGUGUAAUUUCAACAAAUUUAUGGAAUGUUUCCUUUUCCUAGUUUUGAUAUGAUCUUCUAUAAUGGAAUUGCAAUAUAGUUAAUAACCAAAAUAAAACCGAUCCUCUAACAUACACAUUAGCUGAAGUCAUACACUAAAAUAAAAAAAAAACGUAGGCAGGUAAUUGGGUGUAGCUCACAGCAUCAAGUCACCCCUCAUCCCAAUGUUAAGAUGGACUAACAAUAUAAGCAGGAUGCUGGCAAAUAUUUUGCAACCAAGUUGUCACUAAGAUUAGGCACUUCAGUAGGAAGACGUGUAGAUAUCCCAAAAAAGGCUUCUGAUUUUUCAGAUACCAGAAUUAUUUAUCAGUCAGUCUGAUAGGAUUGCGGGAUCCUACCGGGUUUGCUGCGGAGAUUGUAGGGAUGAGUGAUCGGAGGUCGAGGACGAAGGCGGCACUAGGGCGCUGUGAUCCAGAGCUCGUGAGAGAAAGAAAGAGACGACUAGGGCAGGGGUUAGUUCUCCCAGCUCCGUAAAGGAAGCCGAGCAAAUAUAAUUGCUCUUGUUUGAUUAUAUCAGUAGAGUUUACAGAUAUUUAUGUCCCUUCUACUUCACCUAUUUUGCUAAAUAACCUAUCUGGGACUAAUAUAAAUUGCAAAUACAAAGAUAACUGAACUUAUAAAGAUAACUGAGCUCGACUAUCAGCCCAUUAAUCAUACGUCGACCAUAAUAUCUUUCCCCACCUGGACAAACAGCUCGUCCUCGAGCUGCAAGUUAGGAUAGAGGACUGAGAGAACUGCUGCAGCGGCUCCCAUGUAGCCAGUGGCGGAGCUCGCAUCCAAAUAUAGGGGGGGGGGGGGCAGUUUGCAAUGCCAAAUCCCUAGGAAUUUAACUCCCUAAACACAAAAAAUGUAUAUUGUUGUUGUUUUUUGUCUUGUCUUUAUUCCAAUCCAGUUAAGAGAGUAAGAUCCAGAGAUUGUUUGUAAAAUGAAAUACAUCCAAACUAGGAAAUUUGGUACCAUCUUAAUUUCUCAUAAAAAUAAUAUCAAUCAUAAGUAAUUAACCUUGAAAUUGCUAGAUAUACUACCAUCUAAUUCUAUUUAGCAUUCAAAAUUCAGAAGUAUGGAAGCAAAUAAACAGUUGUUUAGUUUCCAAUUUUUUUAGUUUUGGCUACUGUAGCACUUCGUUUUUAUUUGAAAAUUAUUGUCCAAUUAUAGACUAACUAGACUCAAAAGAUUCAUCUCAUGAUUUGCAGGCAAACUGUGCAAUUAGUUUUUGUUUUUGUUUAUAUUUAAUGCUUCAUACAUGUGCCGCAAGAUUCGAUGUGACGGAGAAUCUUGAAAAUUUUUUGGUUUGGGGGUGAACUAAGCAAGGCCUCUUCCUACCUACACACCGUAAGUGACGUGACCAGCAGAAUAGGUCAGUAGAUAGCAGAGUGGUAGUAGAUAGAAUUGAGGCCAUGUUUAUUUCCCAAGAAAAUUCGCAAAAUUUUUCAGAAUCCCCGUCAUAUCGAAUCUUGCGGCACAUGCAUGGAGUAUUAAAUAUAGAUUAAAAAAUAACUUAUUGUACAAUUUACCUGUAAUUUGUGAGACGAAUUUUUUAAGCCUAGUUAGUCCAUGGUUGGAUAAUAUUUGUGAAAUAUAAACGAAAGUGCUACAAUGUCUAUUUUGCAAAAAAUUUUGCAACUAAACAAGGCCUGGAGGCAUGCGCAGUCAUGCAUGCAAGCGUCCUUGUGCCAUGCCCGGGUGACAACAGCGCUGUGUGUGCUGCUAGUCUGUUUGUGUUGUUUGUUUAGCGUUGCAGCCGAAGGCCAACCGGGGGGGCUGCCUAGGUUGGCCGAGCCGUAGCUCCGCCAGUGCAUGUAGCAUCAGCGGAAAGCAGGGGCUUCCGGAGCCACUUGGAGGGCCACCUUGGCACCGUCAUCGUCCACUACUGCGUCAGUGAGGAAAUCAUCAGCUUCAAGAAAGAAAAGCCGCUGGCAUUGGUGGCCGCGCAUGUAUGGCUCAAUGCAGUUGAAGCAUAGCCCCUGAUGACAAUGCUCGAGCAUCUCGGCCGGCUGUCAGGUGGUGAAACGGUGCCAACACCGGAGCUUGCUGCGGGGCAGGCAGUGGAGGUAUGGCUGCAGCUGGGUCAGGAGCACGCGCCUGUGCAGCCGGUGCAGGUAGUGCCAAUGGCUAGCGCUGAGGAGGCGAAGUGGUUUGCUGGACAGGGACCAGCAAGGUAGUCGUAGCACGACGCUCAAACACCCGAGCCAGGUACAUGGCCGUCUAAAGGUCCUGGGGCUCCCGCAACUCGACGUCGACCUUGAUGUGCUCCGGUAAGCCGCCCACGAAGAGUUCCGCCUUCUGUGGGGCGGACAAAUUGCGGGCAUGACACAACACCAUGUUGAAGCGACCGGAGUAGUCCUGGACCAUCGACAAGAAGGGCAGUCGGGCUAGCUCAGACAGUCGGGUGCCACCAACCGCUAGCCCGAAACGAAGAUUGCAGAGCUCCUUGAAGCGUUCCUAGGUAGGCAUGCCCUCGUCCUGCUUGAGGGCGUAGUACCAUGUUUGGGCCGCACCCCGGAGAUGGUAGGAGGCAAGCCAAGUACGGUCGGACGUAAGAGUAUGCGGAUCCCGAAAGAAUUGGUCACAUUGAUUGAGCCAAUUCAGAGGAUCAACAGAGCCAUCAUAGGUAGGAACUCUAGCUUGUAGAAUUUGGGCGUUGCGUGGGCGCCGUUGGACGCACCCGGUGCUGGCGCGCCGUAGCUACCGCCCCCAAAGGACGCGGAUGCGGAUGAAGAUGAGGCACCUCUGUAGUACAUGGCGCCGUCCGAUGCACCGUAGAGAAGCCCCGAGGUCGGGGCGGAGGGAACAACCGAGCUGAUCGCGGUGGACGGCAUAGGAGACGUUGCUGCCGUGUAGUUUGGCGCGGAUGUCGAUCCCAACGCCCAUGAUGGGAUGGGGGACGGGGAGGACGACCACUGCAUCGGAUGGAGGGGCACCCCCGUCACGCUGCUCUGCGGUAUGCCGUAGGGAAAAAUCGCCUGCUGCGUUGAUGGCGCCGCGGAGGGUAGUGCUGGUGGCGGUGGCGCUGUGGGCAGGACUGGUGGUGCCAUGGCCGCGGGCUGAAAUGACUGGACCAGCACCGCCACGGUAGCCUGCAUCGCCACCAUGGAAAUCUGCAUCGCCGCCAUGUUGCGCGACAGCUCAGCGACCACCCCCGCAAGAGAGUCAAGCAUAAGCGGUUGGCCAGAAGACGCAGAGGAGAGCUCCGACGAAGCUGAAGGCGGUGGCGCAGCUGUGGCGGCUGGGGCUACGGAGGAGGCUGGCGGCUGCAUGGAAGAUGGAAGCGGGCCUGACAUUGCCGAUACCAGGUUGAUAGGAUUGCGGAUCCUACCGAGUUUGCUGCGGAGAUUGUAGGGAUGAGUGAUCGGAGGUCGAGGACGAAGUCUUCGCUGGGCGCCGUGCUCUGGAGCUCGUGAGAGAAAGAGAGAGACGACUAGGGCAGGGGUUAGGUCUCCCGGCUCCCUAAAGGAAGCCGAGCAAAUAUGAUUGCUCUUGCUUGAUUAUAUCAACAGAGUUUAUAGAUAUUUAUGUCUCUUCUACUCUACCUAUUUUGCUAAAUAACCUAUCUGGGACUAAUAUAAAUUGCAAAAUACAAAGAUAACUGAACUUAUAAAGAUAGCUGGGCUGGGCUAUCAGCCCAUUAAUCAUACGUCGACCAUAUCACAAUCAAGAUAGUUUCUCAGGUCCAAACCAUGCAUAGAUAUUUCAAAAGCAAAUUGAAAAGAUCACAUAGCUGGUUAUGCCUAAAUCAAUAAUCAAUACGCUUUCCACAGACAUACCUCUCAGAUGAUCAAAAAGACUGCCCUGAGACAUGUACUCAUAAACCAGUGCCAAAUGAUCUUUCUCCCAACAGUAACCAAUCAAAGACACUAGAUUCCUGUGAUGCACCUUUGUCAAGCUCUGGACCUAUGUAACAAGGUACGGAACAUAUAUUAUUUGCAAAGUUAAAUGGAUAAUAUGCUUUUUCUAGGCCACUGAAAUUUGGUACCUCAGCUAAAAAUUCAUCAAGCCCAUGUGAUGAUGAUUCAGAACGCAUCUUGACAGCAACCUCGGUGCUGUCUUCCAAACGGCCAUAGUAGACGGGCCCGAAACCUCCUUGUCCUAUGAACUUCUUGAAAUUAUUAGUGAACUUCUCGAGCUCUUUGUAUGUGAACUGGCGAUUCUCAGUUUUAUUCAGGUUGUACCCAUGACCUUUUUUGCUUCCUGAAGCAUUAUCAGGUUCUGGAUCUCUUGUUGGGCCAUUUAUGGGGACUGGUUGCACUAGUAUCAGAUAAGAAAGGUCAAGUAUUAUAAAUUGAACGGUUAAUACAUGUCACAAAAGAAUUGAGCAACAGGAUGCACACCAUUAGGCUUUCUUUUCUCCCACCAGAUGAAAUAUGCAAGAAGAAGUAAAAUUACUACCAACACAGGAACCACUACUGAAAUAGCUAUGAUAGUUGCUUUAUUUCUUGGCGGGCUUGGUGAAGGUUUGUUGCAUACAGAGCCAGCAUCAUGUCUGAAAGUACAGAAAAUCAGAACUGGAUCUAUUUUCGAGGAGAAAAUGUCUUAAACAGUCACUUGUUUGAUGGUCACAGCAAGUGAUACAAUACAAACUCAGAAGCAUAUUAAUGGAAUGGAUAUUGAGAAAAAAAAAAUUCAGAACCUGAAAAUAAGUGGUGCAGUAUAAUUUUUACAUAGGGACUCAUUACUCAGCUGGUUGCCAGAGACAUUUCUGUAGAAAGUGAAAGGUGAUUAGUAACAUCCUUGGGUUGAUAUUAAUUUGCGAAAAAUAUAGACUUACAGAACUCGUAGGGAAGGCAAACUUGGUAGGGAAUCAGGUAUUGGCCCGCUCAACUGGUUGUAAGAUAAAUCUCUGAAACAUUUGCACAACUACAGUAAGGCAAAAAGUACAUAGAUAUUUCGAUUCAAACUCUACGGAAAGGAAUUUAACAUAUCAAGCUAGUAGUAAGAAAUAAAAGCUUUGUAGUUCAAUAAUUGGGAUUGGGAACAUAGUCCUGACAAGUAUGCUUUGGUACAUCAAUUAAUUUUCUAAUAGCAUUAUGUCCAUUUAAAUUCACUGGAGCCAUUUGAUCAAAACUAAAGAGCAAGACACAUUAAAUAUUGAUAAAUUUAAACAUAAAAGAGUGAUUUAUUUUAUUAAUUCAUAAAUAUGAUGAUGCAGUUAUGCCAAAUAUGGCCAAAAAAGGCUCUCCUACUAUAGCCUCAUCCAUUCGAUUGAUAACUACAGAUUUGAAACAGAAUAAGACAUGCACUAAAAUGAGGUGCAAUGCAUGCUACUACUACAGUAGAACCCAACAUAUGUCAUGAGUCCUAUCUCGUCCGUAUAGAGGCUUGAGCUUGGGGAGAGUGGUUUAUGGUAUUAUAGUUUUACAGAGGUACUCCCAAAAAAAAAAACUCUGUAGACUGAUCCACCAAAGUUAUUAGCACAGAACACAUAAGCCAAAGAAACUGAUUUAUCAUGAUCACAGGUAGUAGAACGGGAUUGCCAGUCAUGGAACGUGAAGUCUUCGGACAUAAAUAAUGAAAGCAGAUUACAUUAGCCUGUUAUGCACUUACAAAUUCUCGAGUGCUGUGAGCAGUGUAAAAUUCUUAGUUAUUGUGCCAUGCAAAGAGCUAUUGGAGAGAUCUCUGCAUGAGAAUUUGUAAUUCAACAUAAAUCAGUUAUUGAAUCUACCAAUAAGGCAAUAAUACACUAGCACAUACGAGAUCAUGAUGUAGGACCUCCUCAAUAAUGUAUCAGAUACUCACAUUGAUGUUAUCCUCGACAUGUUACUAAUUGCACUGCUGCAUUUCACGCCGUCCCAAGCAAAUUUGAUUGGAAAACACGGAUCACCCAUCCAGUUUUUCUUCACCCCGUACUCGAUUUUGAUAGCCAUGAUGGCAUCAACUAGCAUGCAAAACACAUAAGUCAUGACUAUGUUUGGGAACUAGGUGUAAUCACCUAGAUACAUGAAUGACAAAACAAUUGCAUAUACAAGAGAGGAAAAGGGGAAAAAGUCUAUUCAAAGUAGAAUCUUUGGCAAACCAUUUUAGCACCUUGGCUUCAGACCCAGUUCAGUACCAUAACCUUAAGGGGCAUUUAAUCGAGCACGUCAGGUACAGGGGUGGGUGCAAGGUAUGGCGCAUGAGGUGGCCGUUGCGAUUGGAUCCUAAGACGGAAGGGCGUGGGGAAGGAUGCUUAAGGGCGCAGCUCCCCGCCGCUUCCGCGUUGUAGAGGGUGAGGUCCUUGCCACCCCUCAUUGCUGGAGUCUGGAGACGCCGCCACCAUCACAGCAGGAAGGAGAUGGCAAAGAGAAAUCAAACAUAUGGAAUGGAAGGUUCUUCCACGACUUUUUUUUUUUGGUGGCAGCACGACCAUGCUUGAGAGCCUGUUUGUUUCCUUUUCUUUUGCGAGUCCACCAUUAUGAAAAGCAGAUCGUGGAUUGUGAAAAACAGUUGUAAAACAUCUCUAAUGCUCCUUCCAUAAAAAAAUCAAUUUCUAAAGUUAUUCUAAGUUAAACUUUUUAAUCUUUAACCAAAUUUCUAGAAAAAAACUAAAAUUUAUGAUAUCAAAUCCGUACGAUUAGAUUUAUCAUAAAAUAUAUUUUCAUAAAAUACGUAUUUUAUUGUCAUAAAUAUUGUUAUUUUUUCUAUAAAGUAAGUUAAAUUUUAAAAGGUUUGACUGGUACGAAUUCUAAGAAUCGAUUUUUUUUUAUCGAGAAAGUAGUUUCUUAGAUAUUUGAUAAAUCAACAAGUUUUUCAAGUGACUAAACAAGUUAAGAGCAUAUUUGUUGGCCAGAACUCCGGCUAUCACCGGCACUGGAACACAGAACACACACACGCGAACACACAAAAUUUGUGCUGCCAACGUUGUAGCAUUUUCUGACUAUUGAUCCUUUUAUUUGCUACAGGUGGGCUCCAUGCAGAACCCCAAGAGCACGGAGCGAGCAACUAGGGAAGAAUAACGUUCAGGGACGAUAAAUGUAACGGAAUGGGAAUGGGGAAAGGAAAAUUAGGUCUUGUUUAGUUCACCUUAAAAAUCCAAAACUUUUCAAGAUUUUCCGUCACAUUGAAUCUUGCGGUACAUGCAUAGAGCAUUAAAUAUAGAUGAAAAUAAAAACUAAUUACACAGUUUGUCUGUAAAUCGCGAGACGAAUCUUUUAAGCCUAUUUAUUUCAUAAUUGGACAAUGUUUGACAAAUAAAAACGAAAGUGCUACAGUGUUAUUUUUUCAAAAUUUUUUAGAACUAAACAAGGCCUUAGAAACAAUGGCAGUGAAGGUAGAGGAAGAUUUGUGACCGCAUUGAGGGAAUCACUAUAAAAUCUAGUGGCAUUGAAGGAAUUAACUCAUUCGUCGUAAGUUCAUACACCCUUUUAUAUUUGACCAUUAGAUUUAACAUGGCAUGAGCAUGCCAUGUCAAAUUUAAAGGUCAAACAAAGGGUUAUAGACCUGCGAUGAACUAUUUAAAUAGUCUAUGAGUCUGAAGGUUACAUUUAAGGUCAAAUGAAGAGGUAUAGACUACGAUGGAUCACUUUUAGAGUAGAUAGCUCUAACUGAAAACCCGGCAUAAGUUAAUGGACCUAUGAUACGUUUAACUCGUGAGUUUAUAUUUAGUUCCUUUUAUCCAUUUUAGAGUUGUUUGUUGUCACAUAAAACAAAAAAAAAUAUAUAAUUUGAUAAUUAUCCAAACAUAAUAGAAUAGUGUAAAAGUAAUACAAGAUCCGAUGAACAUAAUAUUUGUGCUUUCAAAUGAUAGAUGAUCACUGCUACUCUCUCAUAGCAAUUUGUAUAUAUGAAGGUGAGGAGUAUGAGGGAAGCAGCUGGAUAUCGCUUACAGUCACUAGGGAGUGUCGUCGGAUUCUCGUACGGGACGCGAACGUAGAUCUCGAGCGCAUUGAUCAUCGGAGGCAGCAGCACGGAGGCGUUGGUGCAAACAAGUGUGAUGUUGUACCUGCCGUCGUUAGCCCUGUAGGAUUCAGUGUACACCGUCUGUGAAGCCAGGUACGGGGGGCUGUAGGACUUGAGUUUCCGCCCCGACCCAUCCUUCUCGUUGAUGAGGAUAUCAAACUGCCGAAGCUGGGUGUCCUGGAAGUCGGCGAAGUGCUGCAACAUCAUGAACGAGUACUUGGUUUUGUAUUGCCAGGUGAUGGCGGUGAGCGCCGUGUCGUUGCCCGAUGCCGCAACGGCUGUCUGCAGAAUGCGCGAGGGCACGGCGUAAUCACUCCUGUCCGGUUGAAUAGGCCGUGUGGUCGAUAGGUUCACCCACCCUGGGCUAGCAUUCUCCAUCGGCCACCAGAAACGGUCGUAUGGAUCGUCAGGAUACCUUCACGAAACCAAAGAAAUUCGUAGGGUCGUUGAGAAUCAAUCUGAUUUAUACGCCAAAAAAAUCAAUGUACAGAGAGAAGGAUGAGAAAGAUAAUCCUAAAGCAUACAGAUGCCAUUGGAGAUUAAUAGGAAAUGAGAAAUAUAUAACAAGACAAGCACGCCAUUGGAGAUUAAUAGGAAAUGAGAAAUAUAUAACAAGACAAGCACUAAUAAUAAACAUUAUUAAUUAACAAGAACAAUAAUAAUAACAAUUAACAACAUAAACAAAGUAGAGGGUGAAGAUAUCAGAUCUGUUGCAGCCAUGAUAUCAGUCCUACAAAACUUUUUUUUAUAUACUAUAUAUCCCACAAAUUUGGAUAUUGAGGAAUCCCGUUUAAUUUAUACACUAGUGCUAGAUAUGCAAUUGAGAAAAUUCUAUAUUUAAUUAAUUCUAUACUUGAAUUAGGAAAAAAGAUCCACUAAACUCGAAAUUCUAUACUUAAUUAAUUCCCCUUCUAUAUCACUGGUUAUAAGAAAAUGAGAUCUCUUUUUUUUUUAGUUCAUUGGAGCUGUUUUAAGAGCAUCUCUAGUCUCCAGGAGUCCUCCAAUAAUAUCUCUCAACAUCCUCAUAAAAUUAUACUGAGUCGAGUCUUUUUUUUUUCUCCAGCAAUCACCCAAUAGAUCUUUUUUUGUGACCACCAUCAAUAUCUUUCUUAUCUUCGCUAAAUAAGAGAGGAGUUACAUCUCCCGCAUAUGCUAGGUUCCACACCAACUACCACUUUUAUCUUCUCUAGUACACUUGUUAGCCAAUCUAAACAUCUCCGAGCUCUCCGACCACAAUGCUGCCUCCCUCGGAGCUCCAGACCACCAUGGCUAGCGAAGAGUUACGUUGCAGAGGGAGAAGAGUAGUUUGGAGAGGCUGGCGGAGUUGGAGUCCUUUUGCUAACCUAGCUUAUAUACCUAAAAAGAUUGUAAAGUCAUCAUCUGCUCUGUGAAAUCAAAUCCUGUCUACCCGUAUUGCACUUGGUAGCCAGACACGUACGAAGUACGAUGCCCCACGGGCCACGGUGGUAGAAGUCAGAUUCAGAUGUCCCACACCGCGUUCUACUUGGUUCUCAUACAAGAUGGGAUCCAUGUACCCGCGUCUGAUACAAAACACUUGGAGCUAAAUACAAAUUCAUGGGCUGGUGCAUAUCUAUCUUGCAUAUAUUAUAUGUUGUCAAAGUGCCUUUUUUCUACCACUAAAAGAAUAAGUCACACCCAUAUCGAGUGGAACCUGGACGUACAAUUUCCAAUCAGUUGAGCAACAUUUAGCUUGUAGAAAUUAGCAUUUGUUUUCCAUGAUUCUUUCUUUUUGCAAAACUGAUUUUACUUAGAAAGAAAUUAGCUAAGGGAAUCUCCAUGGGGUUCAAAAACCAACUCUUAAUCUUGAUUUUUUUGGCAAGAUUGAAAAAAAUCGCUCCCAAACAACUUCUUAUCUCAACUGUCUUUUCACACCUGAAAAAAUCGAUCUAAGGCAAAAAGUUUUGCCAAAAAUUUUAGAUUUUUCGUCUCAUCGAAUCUUGUGGCACAUGCAUGGAGUAUUAAAUAUAGACGAAAACAAAAACUAAUUACACAGUUACUUGUAAUUUGUGAGACGAAUCUUUUAAACCUAGUUCAUGAUUGGACAAUAUUUGUCAAAUAAAAACAAAAGUGCUACAGUACCUAAAAUCUCAAAAUUUUGCCAACUGAAUAAGGCCUAAUCACACAAAAAUAUAAUAUAAGUGAGCGUAUCAGUCGAUAAAUCUGAAGAUGAAAGGACGCAGAGAAGAACAAGAUGUAAAGACAGGGUUCCCAAUGCGAAUUCAUUAUAGAGAAAGAAAGUAUAAAAAUUGUUAGGAUGAUUAUAAAUAAAUCUGAGAUUCUUAAUGAAUGCAAAUUUUCUUAUAUUCUUAGGAGCUGAGAUUUUGAAAACGUUUGAAGAAAUCCAACAAAUAUAUUCCCAACUUGUUUUAGCAAAAUCAAAAAUUCAUUGAUUUAUCAAUUUUUUUUUUGGGAACUAUUGGAAAUGCUCUAAGCCACCAAAAAAAGAUAUGAUCUAGUCUAGAGAUAGUUAGUCCAAAACGAGGUUUUAGGAAACAUAUUUUCAUAAAAAAAAACAGGGCUAUCCAAACAACCCUUGUUACCGUAAAAAAUGGUAUCAUCUAUCGGACCUACGCACGUACACAACCUCGCUGUCCCACGAGAACAUACCGCACAACUGAAACGCCGGCCCCCAUGUUUAUGCGCCUAAACACUGAUAUGACCAGGCGGGGUGUGACGAGCUGAUAGAGCGCGUCCCCGAGCCGGCCGAGCGGCCUGAGCUCCAAGACAGACACGAACGGCGUGCCGUGGCCGGUGUUGACCAGGCACCACGGCGCCCAGCCUGCCCACGCGACGAAGAUCGCCUCGUAGGCGUAGCUGCUCCACGCAUUCGGGUACACUGUUUGCCAGUAGUUGGCCCCCAGGUGCAGGUCGAACUGCAGCGACGAGCUGUUCUUGCCGUCGUAGUUGCCGUACGUGAACUCCGCCCGCACCAGGUACUUGGUCCCGGCCACGGUGGGGAGCGCGUAGCAGUUCCGCUCGCCGGACGGGAAGCUCCUCAGCGUUU
RNAcentral lists this long non-coding RNA (40518 nucleotides) under Sorghum bicolor (sorghum). RNAcentral describes it as "long non-coding RNA (SBIC_LNC003467)". The record is from RNAcentral. Lineage: Eukaryota; Viridiplantae; Streptophyta; Magnoliopsida; Poales; Poaceae.